UACAGAGGUCUCAAGCGUUUGUUCGGAUUCAUUGGGCGUAAAGGGGUGCGUAGGUGGCGCGGUAAGUCGGGUGUGAAAUUUCGGAGCUUAACUCCGAAACUGCAUUCGAUACUGCCGUGCUUGAGGACUGGAGAGGAGACUGGAAUUUACGGUGUAGCAGUGAAAUGCGUAGAGAUCGUAAGGAAGACCGUGGCGAAGGCGGGUCUCUGGACAGUUCCUGACACUGAGGCACGAAGGCCAGGGGAGCAAACGGGG
RNAcentral lists this ribosomal RNA (255 nucleotides) under uncultured bacterium. RNAcentral's name for it is "partial 16S ribosomal RNA". It matches the Rfam family "Bacterial small subunit ribosomal RNA", at positions 524 to 777 of the family's 1533-position model. The record is from RNAcentral.